GCUUCCCGGAAACGAAAGUCUUCCGGUUCCGGGGGAAGUAUGGUUGCAAAGCUGAAACUUAAAGGAAUUGACGGAAGGGCACCACCAGGAGUGGAGCCUGCGGCUUAAUUUGACUCAACACGGGGAAACUCACCCGGCCCGGACACCGUAAGGAUUGACAGAUUGAUAGCUCUUUCAUGAUUCGGUGGUUGGUGGUGCAUGGCCGUUCUUAGUUCGUGGAUCGAUUUGUCUGGUUUAUUCCGAUAACGAGCGAGACUCUAGCCUACUAAAUAGUAACGGAAUUACUACUGUUCCAGUUGCUUCUUAGAGGGAUUUUCGGUGUUUAGCCGCACGAGAUUGAGCAAUAACAGGUCUGUGAUGCCCUUAGAUGUCCGGGGCUGCACGCGCGCUACACUGGCGAAAUCAGCGUGCUGUAUCCAUUCUCGAAAGGGAUUGGUAAACCCAUGAAAAUUUGCCGUGCUUGGGAUCGGAAAUUGCAAUUAUUUUCCGUGAACGAGGAAUUCCAAGUAAGUGCGAGUCAUCAACUC
RNAcentral lists this ribosomal RNA (527 nucleotides) under Acrobeles sp. MCt6. RNAcentral describes it as "SSU rRNA". It matches the Rfam family "Eukaryotic small subunit ribosomal RNA", at positions 1086 to 1637 of the family's 1831-position model. The record is from RNAcentral. Lineage: Eukaryota; Metazoa; Nematoda; Chromadorea; Rhabditida; Cephalobidae.